CAGUAGCCGCGGUAAAACGAGGGGGGCAAGCGUUGUUCGGAAUUAUUGGGCGUAAAGGGUGCGUAGGCGGCUUGACAAGUCUUGUGUGAAAUCUAUGGGCUCAACCCAUAGUCUGCACGGGAAACUGUCGGGCUUGAGAAUGGGAGAGGUGAGUGGAAUUUCCGGUGUAGCGGUGAAAUGCGUAGAUAUCAGGAGGAACACCUGUGGCGAAAGCGGCUCACUGGACCAUAACUGACGCUGAGGCACGAAAGCUAGGGGAGCAAACAGGAUUAGAGACCCCCGUAGUCCCUGUCUCUUAUAA
This 301-nucleotide ribosomal RNA is filed under the name uncultured bacterium. Its description in RNAcentral is "partial 16S ribosomal RNA". It matches the Rfam family "Bacterial small subunit ribosomal RNA", at positions 509 to 809 of the family's 1533-position model. The record is from RNAcentral.